Molecule: ribosomal RNA, 253 nt
Filed under: uncultured bacterium
Lineage: Bacteria
Description: partial 16S ribosomal RNA
Rfam family: Bacterial small subunit ribosomal RNA
Source: RNAcentral
UACAGAGGUCUCAAGCGUUGUUCGGAUUCAUUGGGCGUAAAGGGAGCGUAGGUGGCGGGGCAAGUCGGAUGUGAAAUCCUGGGGCUCAACCCCAGAACUGCAUUCGAUACUGCUCUGCUAGAGUCCUGGAGAGGAGAUCGGAAUUUACGGUGUAGCAGUGAAAUGCGUAGAUAUCGUAAGGAAGACCAGUGGCGAAGGCGGAUCUCUGGACAGGCACUGACACUGAGGCUCGAAGGCCAGGGGAGCAAACGGG